This 253-nucleotide ribosomal RNA is filed under the name uncultured bacterium. RNAcentral's name for it is "partial 16S ribosomal RNA". It matches the Rfam family "Bacterial small subunit ribosomal RNA", at positions 524 to 776 of the family's 1533-position model. The record is from RNAcentral.
UACAGAGGGUGCAAGCGUUAAUCGGAAUUACUGGGCGUAAAGCGUGCGUAGUCGGUUAUUUAAGUCGGGCGUGAAAGCCCCGGGCUCAACCUGGGAAUUGCGUUCGAUACUGGAUAGCUAGAGUUCGGCAGAGGGAAGCGGAAUUUCUGGUGUAGCGGUGAAAUGCGUAGAUAUCUGGAGGAACACCGGUGGCGAAGGCGGCAUCCUGGACCAAUUCUGACGCUGAGGAGCGAAAGCCAGGGGAGCAAACGGG